This 216-nucleotide long non-coding RNA is filed under the name Panax ginseng (ginseng). RNAcentral describes it as "long non-coding RNA (PGIN_LNC004706)". Lineage: Eukaryota; Viridiplantae; Streptophyta; Magnoliopsida; Apiales; Araliaceae. The record is from RNAcentral.
GAGUACAAGGAAGACAAGAUUGAUUGUGAGCUUACUACUUUUCUUUUGUUUUAGAACUCAGAACUGUCAAUUGUACUAUUGUCAUGCAUGAUGCCUUAUCGUUCAUUUAUUUUUCCCUUGGAAGAGUGUAUAUGAUUUCAAUAUAGGAGAAGCAAUUCUCCAUGAUAAUUACAUGACACCAGUGCAAUGUUUCUCUCUCUAGAAAUUUUGAUUUGC